Molecule: long non-coding RNA, 1048 nt
Organism: Oncorhynchus tshawytscha (Chinook salmon)
Lineage: Eukaryota; Metazoa; Chordata; Actinopteri; Salmoniformes; Salmonidae
Exons: 2
Source: RefSeq, a predicted model, not a curated record
AGUGUUUUGCUACUUCCAUUAUGCGCUAAAUAUACCACAGGUCAAUAUAGUCUACCAGUCUAACUGUCUAUUCUGCCUUCUAUCCACCAUUCAUAGUGAAAAUAGUGGUAGGUGGUCGUUUGUCCAGAUCGGCAAUGGGCUAACUAGCAAUCAUACCACAACUAAAAUCAUUAAAAGCUGCAAUUAAAAAUCCACGAGAACAACGAGAAAUAGCUGAUAGGCAGCGAAGUGACCAGGUACGUCAUUGCGCAUGAAAGAACAUUGAAGACGUGAGACACGCAACUCAAAAAGCUCCCCCAUUGAUCUUGUUUAGGGACAAUUAAAUAUCUCGACUAGUCUACAACAAUGCCGGGGUCAGCGAAGCUCCCAAGUGACCAGCGACAGGGCCAACAGCCAACUGACUGCCUACUCUACUCUGACCUCCCUUCAUUAGUAACCCCUGGGCUUCUCCUCAGACCUGGUGCUGCUGGGGGGACCUAUUUGUGGUCCUCCACUCAUCUGAGGGGAAGGGGAUAGAGGGAUAGAGACUGAAGGAACAACAGCUGCUGAUGGGGACCUCACGCUUCCCAUGGAAGAGCAGCAUCCUCCUGAGAGAAGGUGCUGUAAUCUGCAGUAAUCGAAUUCUCAGACAUACAUGAUAGCCACAGUAUGUCUCGAAGCCACAUUGUAUGUGAGUGAACACAUGACAUUGAACAUAUUGACACAUGACGUUGUGUGAUCUGUAUUGUAUUUACAAAAACAAUCAACAGUGCAAGUCGCAUGAUGAUCUUACACGGAAAGCUCUUGAAAACUUUCACAGACACACAAAAACAUAGAGAUAUUAAAACCGUUAUACAAGCAGUGUUAAAUGGACAAAGUGUAAUUAAAUGUAUUUUGUGUUAAGAGAAUCUGCUGGGGUGCCAGAGGAAUGCAAAGAAUUGUAGGCACUUUUUUCUGACACGGUAUAGUGAUGCCAUCAUGAGUUGCAAUGGGAAACAUUUACACACAGCAAAGAGCCCAGUGGGUUCACUAGUAGCAAUACAAGGUGACAUCAUCUGUCUGAUAAACA